GACGAACGCUGGCGGCGUGCUUAACACAUGCAAGUCGAACGGAAAGGCCCCCACUUUUUUGGUGGGGGUGCUCGAGUGGCGAACGGGUGAGUAACACGUGGGUGAUCUGCCCUGCACUUCGGGAUAAGCUUGGGAAACUGGGUCUAAUACCGGAUAGGACCAUGGUUUAGUGUCUCAUGGUGGAAAAAUUAUUGUUUUGGUGCAGGAUGAGCUCGCGGCCUAUCAGCUUGUUGGUGGGGUAAUGGCCUACCAAGGCGUCGACGGGUAGCCGGCCUGAGAGGGUGGACGGCCACAUUGGGACUGAGAUACGGCCCAGACUCCUACGGGAGGCAGCAGUGGGGAAUAUUGCACAAUGGGCGCAAGCCUGAUGCAGCGACGCCGCGUGGGGGAUGACGGCCUUCGGGUUGUAAACUCCUUUCGUUAGGGACGAAGCCACGCCUUUUUUGGGUGUGGGGA
Molecule: ribosomal RNA, 456 nt
Filed under: Corynebacterium matruchotii
Lineage: Bacteria; Bacillati; Actinomycetota; Actinomycetes; Mycobacteriales; Corynebacteriaceae
Description: bacterial SSU rRNA
Rfam family: Bacterial small subunit ribosomal RNA
Source: RNAcentral